CAGUCGCCACGGUAAUACGAAGGGUGCAAGCGUUACUCGGAAUUACUGGGCGUAAAGCGUGCGUAGGUGGUGGUUUAAGUCUGUUGUGAAAGCCCUGGGCUCAACCUGGGAAUUGCAGUGGAUACUGGGUCACUAGAGUGUGGUAGAGGAUAGUGGAAUUUCCGGUGUAGCAGUGAAAUGCGUAGAGAUCGGAAGGAACAUCUGUGGCGAAGGCGACUAUCUGGGCCAACACUGACACUGAGGCACGAAAGCGUGGGGAGCAAACAGGAUUAGAUACCCCUGUAGUCCCUGUCUCUUAUAA
RNAcentral lists this ribosomal RNA (301 nucleotides) under uncultured bacterium. RNAcentral's name for it is "partial 16S ribosomal RNA". It matches the Rfam family "Bacterial small subunit ribosomal RNA", at positions 509 to 809 of the family's 1533-position model. The record is from RNAcentral.